CGGUGUUCAACUGGCGUGUCCGCGGGACGUCCUGCCGGUGGGCUUAGCCCGCAAGGGCGGCCCAACUUCAAAUCCCAUCGCGGUGCUCUUCACUGAGUGUCGAGGUGGGCCGGCACGUUUACUUUGAACAAAUUAGAGUGCUUAAAGCAGGCUAAAACUUCGCCUGAAUACUGUGUGCAUGGAAUAAUGGAAUAGGACCUCGGUUCUAUUUUGUUGGUUUUCGGAACCCCGAGGUAAUGAUUAAUAGGAACGGAUGGGGGCAUUCGUAUUGCGACGUUAGAGGUGAAAUUCUUGGAUCGUCGCAAGACGGACAGAAGCGAAAGCAUUUGCCAAAAACGCUUUCAUUGAUCAAGAACGAAAGUUAGAGGUUCGAAGGCGAUCAGAUACCGCCCUAGUUCUAACCAUAAACGAUGCCAGCUAGCGAUCCGUCGACGUUCCUCCGAUGACUCGACGGGCAGCUUCCGGGAAACCAAAGCUUUUGGGUUCCGGGGGAAGUAUGGUUGCAAAGCUGAAACUUAAAGGAAUUGACGGAAGGGCACCACCAGGAGUGGAGCCUACGGCUUAAUUUGACUCAACACGGGAAACCUCACCAGGCCCGGACACCGGAAGGAUUGACAGAUUGAGAGCUCUUUCUUGAUUCGGUGGGUGGUGGUGCAUGGCCGUUCUUAGUUGGUGGAGCGAUUUGUCUGGUUAAUUCCGAUAACGAACGAGACUCUAGCCUGCUAACUAGGCGUAUUUUCGACAUCUCAAAGGUCCGUCGUCCCGGCCCUCGGGUCGUGGGCGUGCGCGAUUUUUACUGUCGGCGUACUAUCAAUUCUUCUUAGAGGGACAGGUGGCUUCUAGCCGCACGAGAUUGAGCAAUAACAGGUCUGUGAUG
RNAcentral lists this ribosomal RNA (877 nucleotides) under uncultured eukaryote. RNAcentral describes it as "SSU rRNA". It matches the Rfam family "Eukaryotic small subunit ribosomal RNA", at positions 636 to 1469 of the family's 1831-position model. The record is from RNAcentral.